Molecule: transfer RNA, 63 nt
Filed under: Diolcogaster sp. SNS-2016
Lineage: Eukaryota; Metazoa; Arthropoda; Insecta; Hymenoptera; Braconidae
Description: tRNA-Pro
Source: RNAcentral
CAAAAUGUAGUUUAUAUAAAAUAUUAAUUUUGGAAAUUAAUGAAAUAAUUUUUAUUUUUUUGA